GUUCAGAGCUCGGUAGUCUACACAAAAUCGCCAUCUUCCAUCCUUUUCUUUACUAGGAGUACAAGGUUCGAGAAUUGGCUUGUGAUACGCUGGAUAAUUCCUGCCGCUAGCAUCUCCCAGAUCAGUCGCUCAAUUUCAUUCUUCUUGAAGUGGGGGUAUCGGUAAGGCCGUGCACUCACUGGUUCAGCCCCUUUUUUAAUACUACUGCAUGGUCGUGUUUUCGUUUGGGGGGCAAUUGAGUGAUGUCCUAAAAAAUUGCCUUAAAUUCAUCCGGUACUUCUUCAAUGAUCGCUGGUGGCCGAUGUGAGGAUGGAAUGGAGGAUACAGUGAUGUUCCCUAACUCUAGGAGUAGCCCUUCUCCUUGUUUCUUGAAAGCCUUCCACAUAGAUUUUAAUGACACCGGACUUUUACUGAGGCUAGGGUCCCCCUGUAAGUUAACAGUCACCCCUUCCAUGGAAAAGGACAUAGUCAAGUUAUUCUAGUAAACUUGCAUUCUCCCUAACUUCCGCAAUCAUUGCAUUCCAAGUAUGACGUUGGAACUCCUUAAAUCCAACGGCAAGAAGUCCUCAACCACUAUCAAGCCCGACAAUCAAACCCGUACCCAUUAUUACUCCAUAACUAGUAGUGCCUGGGAAUGAAAGCCCUUCCUUUUGGAAAUUGUGCGAGGCCCCACUAUCGAUUAGUAUCACCACCUUCCUUUGACUGAUUAAUCCUUGUAAUUUCAUUGUGCCCGGAGCCGUCAAUCCAACUACAGAAUUAAUGGAAAGCUCAACCGGCUGGCUCAUUGUUGCUUCCUCAGUCUCUGGAACCACCAAGUCUUCUACCAAACUCUGGCCCCAUACCAACUCCUCUGGCCAUGGUUGCUCCUUCUCUUCCAGCUCUCGAAUAACCAACACUUGUAGCUCUUUACUCUUGCAUUGGUGACCAAUAGUGAACUUUUCAUCACAGCGAUAACGCAGGCCUUUCUUUUUUUUGGUCUGAAGUUCUGCGUCGAUGAGUCUAUUGAAGGGUGUGGAAAAUUUGGAAGAGAAAUUGGGGCGAUUUGUGGGUAAUUUUAGGUGCAUUGUUCGGUUCUGGGUGUUGAGGGAUUGUGGAGGGUUUGGGCUGUUAUAAUGGAUGCUUUUAGGUUUAAUUGGGCCUGGAUUGAUAUGGGUUGUCUGGCUAAUGGCAUUUCGAUCCUCCACCAUUUGGGCUACUUCCAUCAUUUGCUCCAAGCCCACUGGCCUGAGUAAAUACACUUCAGCCCUAAUUUCUGGCACCACCCCAUUAAGAAAAAUUGAUUCCAACAUCUCUUCAGAGACGUCCUUCAACGGUGUGGCUAAAGUCUCGAACCUCCGGCGGAAAUCUCUGACCGUGUCCUCCUGUCACUCCGACANUCUAUAACAUUCA
RNAcentral lists this long non-coding RNA (1389 nucleotides) under Olea europaea subsp. europaea. Lineage: Eukaryota; Viridiplantae; Streptophyta; Magnoliopsida; Lamiales; Oleaceae. The record is from RNAcentral.